ACUUGCUGCCGACCAACACAACAGCUCUGUUAGCUGAAAUGCCAACACAAACACAGUAGCAUCCUUGGGUAUGUGGUAGAUUGCUUCUGUGCCUCUAGAAAGUGCUCUUCUGGCUUAUGUGGUUACCAUGAAUGGACUCACUGUGCUGACAGAUAUGGAGAACAUACUCAACAUCUUUAGAUUUCGUCCUUGAAACCACAGAGUGACUGCAAAAACUCACCAACAACCACAAGUUUUAAAAAAUAUCACUGGUCUUCUGACAAGUAAGUUUUCCAUUUCAAGUUUUGUUUUCUCCCUAACUUGUAUUUCAUCUCUGUGUUUAUUAUAUGAAUGACCAUGCUCAUUUUCUGUGCAAAGUGCAUGACUGUGAAUUGUAUAGUGUGAAAGUUUG
RNAcentral lists this long non-coding RNA (391 nucleotides) under Meleagris gallopavo (turkey). Its description in RNAcentral is "lncRNA (ENSMGAG00000021230.1)". Lineage: Eukaryota; Metazoa; Chordata; Aves; Galliformes; Phasianidae. The record is from RNAcentral.